RNAcentral lists this ribosomal RNA (540 nucleotides) under uncultured Geobacteraceae bacterium. Its description in RNAcentral is "bacterial SSU rRNA". It matches the Rfam family "Bacterial small subunit ribosomal RNA", at positions 9 to 526 of the family's 1533-position model. The record is from RNAcentral. Lineage: Bacteria; Pseudomonadati; Thermodesulfobacteriota; Desulfuromonadia; Geobacterales; Geobacteraceae.
GAGUUUGAUCCUGGCUCAGAACGAACGCUGGCGGCGUGCCUAACACAUGCAAGUCGAACGGAUUUGAGGGGCUUGCUCCUCAAGUUAGUGGCGCACGGGUGAGUAACGCGUAGAUAAUCUGCCUGAUGAUCUGGGAUAACACUUCGAAAGGGGUGCUAAUACCGGAUAAGCCCACGGGGUCUUUGGAUUCUGCGGGAAAAAGGGGGGACUUUCGGGCCUUCUGUCAUCAGAUGAGUCUGCGUACCAUUAGCUAGUUGGUAGGGUAAUGGCCUACCAAGGCUACGAUGGUUAGCUGGUUUGAGAGAAUGAUCAGCCACACUGGAACUGAGACACGGUCCAGACUCCUACGGGAGGCAGCAGUGGGGAAUUUUGCGCAAUGGGCGAAAGCCUGACGCAGCAACGCCGCGUGAGUGAUAAAGGCUUUCGGGUCGUAAAGCUCUGUCGAGGGGAAAGAAGUGUAUUGUGGCUAAUAUCCACGAUACUUGACGGUACCCCUAAAGGAAGCACCGGCUAACUCCGUGCCAGCAGCCGCGGUAAUAC